Molecule: ribosomal RNA, 1541 nt
Filed under: Salmonella enterica subsp. enterica serovar Typhimurium
Lineage: Bacteria; Pseudomonadati; Pseudomonadota; Gammaproteobacteria; Enterobacterales; Enterobacteriaceae
Description: bacterial SSU rRNA
Rfam family: Bacterial small subunit ribosomal RNA
Source: RNAcentral
AGAGUUUGAUCCUGGCUCAGAUUGAACGCUGGCGGCAGGCCUAACACAUGCAAGUCGAACGGUAACAGGAAGCAGCUUGCUGCUUUGCUGACGAGUGGCGGACGGGUGAGUAAUGUCUGGGAAACUGCCUGAUGGAGGGGGAUAACUACUGGAAACGGUGGCUAAUACCGCAUAACGUCGCAAGACCAAAGAGGGGGACCUUCGGGCCUCUUGCCAUCAGAUGUGCCCAGAUGGGAUUAGCUUGUUGGUGAGGUAACGGCUCACCAAGGCGACGAUCCCUAGCUGGUCUGAGAGGAUGACCAGCCACACUGGAACUGAGACACGGUCCAGACUCCUACGGGAGGCAGCAGUGGGGAAUAUUGCACAAUGGGCGCAAGCCUGAUGCAGCCAUGCCGCGUGUAUGAAGAAGGCCUUCGGGUUGUAAAGUACUUUCAGCGGGGAGGAAGGUGUUGUGGUUAAUAACCACAGCAAUUGACGUUACCCGCAGAAGAAGCACCGGCUAACUCCGUGCCAGCAGCCGCGGUAAUACGGAGGGUGCAAGCGUUAAUCGGAAUUACUGGGCGUAAAGCGCACGCAGGCGGUCUGUCAAGUCGGAUGUGAAAUCCCCGGGCUCAACCUGGGAACUGCAUUCGAAACUNGGCAGGCUUGAGUCUUGUAGAGGGGGGUAGAAUUNCCAGGUGUAGCGGUGAAAUGCGUAGAGAUCUGGAGGAAUACCNGGUGGCGAAGGCGGCCCCCUGGACAAAGACUGACGCUCAGGUGCGAAAGCGUGGGGAGCAAACAGGAUUAGAUACCCUGKUAGUCCACGCCGUAAACGAUGUCUACUUGGAGGUUGUGCCCUUGAGGCGUGGCUUCCGGAGCUAACGCGUUAAGUAGACCGCCUGGGGAGUACGGNCCGCAAGGUUAAAACUCAAAUGAAUUGACGGGGGCCCGCACAAGCGGUGGAGCAUGUGGUUUAAUUCGAUGCAACGCGAAGAACCUUACCUGGUCUUGACAUCCACAGAACUUUCCAGAGAUGGACUGGUGCCUUCGGGAACUGUGAGACAGGUGCUGCAUGGCUGUCGUCAGCUCGUGUUGUGAAAUGUUGGGUUAAGUCCCGCAACGAGCGCAACCCUUAUCCUUUGUUGCCAGCGGUCCGGCCGGGAACUCAAAGGAGACUGCCAGUGAUAAACUGGAGGAAGGUGGGGAUGACGUCAAGUCAUCAUGGCCCUUACGACCAGGGCUACACACGUGCUACAAUGGCGCAUACAAAGAGAAGCGACCUCGCGAGAGCAAGCGGACCUCAUAAAGUGCGUCGUAGUCCGGAUUGGAGUCUGCAACUCGACUCCAUGAAGUCGGAAUCGCUAGUAAUCGUGGAUCAGAAUGCCACGGUGAAUACGUUCCCGGGCCUUGUACACACCGCCCGUCACACCAUGGGAGUGGGUUGCAAAAGAAGUAGGUAGCUUAACCUUCGGGAGGGCGCUUACCACUUUGUGAUUCAUGACUGGGGUGAAGUCGUAACAAGGUAACCGUAGGGGAACCUGCGGCUGGAACACCUCCUUACC